UAGUGGCAGACGGGUGAGUAACGCGUGGGAAGCUACCUUGUGGUAGGGGACAACAGUUGGAAACGACUGCUAAUACCCUAUGAGCCCUAUGGGGGAAAGAUUUAUCGCCAUGAGAUGUGCCCGCGUUAGAUUAGCUAGUUGGUAAGGUAAUGGCUUACCAAGGCGACGAUCUAUAGCUGGUCUGAGAGGAUGAUCAGCCACACUGGGACUGAGACACGGCCCAGACUCCUACGGGAGGCAGCAGUGGGGAAUAUUGGACAAUGGGGGCAACCCUGAUCCAGCCAUGCCGCGUGUGUGAUGACGGCCUUAGGGUUGUAAAGCACUUUCAGCAGUGAAGAUAAUGACAUUAACUGCAGAAGAAGCCCCGGCUAACUUCGUGCCAGCAGCCGCGGUAAUACGAAGGGGGCUAGCGUUGUUCGGAAUCACUGGGCGUAAAGAGUACGUAGGCGGACUGAUAAGUUAGGGGUGAAAUCCCAAGGCUCAACCUUGGAACUGCCUUUGAUACUGUCAGUCUUGAGAUCGAGAGAGGUGAGUGGAACUCCGAGUGUAGAGGUGAAAUUCGUAGAUAUUCGGAAGAACACCAGUGGCGAAGGCGGCUCACUGGCUCGAUACUGACGCUGAGGUACG
Molecule: ribosomal RNA, 627 nt
Filed under: Pseudovibrio sp. AU196_Ted1_R2A
Lineage: Bacteria; Pseudomonadati; Pseudomonadota; Alphaproteobacteria; Hyphomicrobiales; Stappiaceae
Description: bacterial SSU rRNA
Rfam family: Bacterial small subunit ribosomal RNA
Source: RNAcentral